GGCUUAGUUGGUGGCUUAGUUGGUUAAAGUGCCUGUCUAGUAAACAGGCGAUCGAGGGUUCGAAUCCCUCCGAGGCCU
Non-coding RNA from Diachasma alloeum, 78 nucleotides. Lineage: Eukaryota; Metazoa; Arthropoda; Insecta; Hymenoptera; Braconidae. The record is from the annotation of a RefSeq genome assembly.